UCCUUUUAUCCUUCUAGAUCCUUCCACGAGCCUUGUCUCCUCUCACGCGUUGCGUUUCUGAUGUGAAGAGGGCUACUAGAGUCCUCUUCAAUGUCCACAAAUUCAAGACUUGGGAACAACAGUGGUGUUCCCAGAGGAGUAGAGAAAAUAGAAAAAUAGAAAAUUACUGAGGAAGAAAUGAGAUUUUGUUUGAAAGAGGAGUUGCCGCC
This 209-nucleotide long non-coding RNA is filed under the name Elaeis guineensis (African oil palm). RNAcentral describes it as "long non-coding RNA (EGUI_LNC037859)". The record is from RNAcentral. Lineage: Eukaryota; Viridiplantae; Streptophyta; Magnoliopsida; Arecales; Arecaceae.